GUGUUCACUCCUACGGGAGGCAGCAGUGGGGAAUAUUGCACAAUGGGCGCAAGCCUGAUGCAGCCAUGCCGCGUGUGUGAAGAAGGCCUUCGGGUUGUAAAGCACUUUCAGUCGUGAGGAAGGUAGUGUAGUUAAUAGCUGCAUUAUUUGACGUUAGCGACAGAAGAAGCACCGGCUAACUCCGUGCCAGCAGCCGCGGUAAUACGGAGGGUGCGAGCGUUAAUCGGAAUUACUGGGCGUAAAGCGCAUGCAGGUGGUUUGUUAAGUCAGAUGUGAAAGCCCGGGGCUCAACCUCGGAAUAGCAUUUGAAACUGGCAGACUAGAGUACUGUAGAGGGGGUAGAAUUUCAGGUGUAGCGGUGAAAUGCGUAGAGAUCUGAAGGAAUACCGGUGGCGAAGGCGGCCCCCUGGACAGAUACUGACACUCAGAUGCGAAAGCGUGGGGAGCAAACAGGAUUAGAUACCCUGGUAG
RNAcentral lists this ribosomal RNA (471 nucleotides) under uncultured bacterium. RNAcentral describes it as "bacterial SSU rRNA". It matches the Rfam family "Bacterial small subunit ribosomal RNA", at positions 329 to 793 of the family's 1533-position model. The record is from RNAcentral.